This is a long non-coding RNA of Betta splendens (Siamese fighting fish), 410 nucleotides long. RefSeq lists it as uncharacterized. Lineage: Eukaryota; Metazoa; Chordata; Actinopteri; Anabantiformes; Osphronemidae. The record is from RefSeq and is a predicted model, not a curated record. The transcript has 2 exons.
CCUCAGAUGCGUCGGCCGCUGAACCAGUGAAGGUCCCUGCUGUCAUCUGUGUCUCCAUCGCUGCUUUCAUCGUCCUGACUUAGGAAACAUGAGGAUCGAUCCGUCACUGUUCAGAGAAGAAGGAGAAGGUGACAGAUGAAUGCUGAACAUAAACUGCUAAGUUAUUUAUUAAAAAACUGGACAAACUGGAUCAUCACAUAGUGAGGAACAAGGUGAAGGAAACAGUUUAUAGCAGGUACCAGUGAGUUCCAGCCAGGAUUUGUCAGGAAUUUUAUACAAACAAACUGACUGUGAUGCUUUCAUUUACUUUCUCCUUUAUAUUAUUUUACUUGAAGUCAUUAUGAGCAAUUCAAUCAGUGUAAUCGAAGUUAUGAUGAUUGUAGAUUUUAUAAACUUUGUCCUAAAGCUUU